Molecule: ribosomal RNA, 447 nt
Filed under: uncultured bacterium
Lineage: Bacteria
Description: bacterial SSU rRNA
Rfam family: Bacterial small subunit ribosomal RNA
Source: RNAcentral
UGGGGAAUCUUGGACAAUGGGCGCAAGCCUGAUCCAGCCAUGCCGCGUGGAUGAUGAAGGCCUUAGGGUUGUAAAAUCCUUUCGUUGGGGACGAUAAUGACGGUACCCAAAGAAGAAGCUCCGGCUAACUUCGUGCCAGCAGCCGCGGUAAUACGAAGGGGGCUAGCGUUGUUCGGAUUUACUGGGCGUAAAGCGCGUGUAGGCGGACUUGUAAGUUGGGGGUGAAAUCCCGAGGCUCAACCUCGGAACUGCCUCCAAAACUACAAAUCUGGACCUAAGUAGAGGCAAGUGGAACUGCGAGUGUAGAGGUGAAAUUCGUAGAUAUUCGCAGGAACACCAGUGGCGAAGGCGGCUUGCUGGACUUAUGGUGACGCUGAGACGCGAAAGCGUGGGGAGCAAACAGGAUUAGAUACCCCUGUAGUCCCUGAGCGGGCUGGCAAGGCGCAU